This 266-nucleotide ribosomal RNA is filed under the name uncultured bacterium. Its description in RNAcentral is "partial 16S ribosomal RNA". It matches the Rfam family "Bacterial small subunit ribosomal RNA", at positions 333 to 596 of the family's 1533-position model. The record is from RNAcentral.
AUUUACCUACGGGAGGCAGCAGUGAGGAAUAUUGGUCAAUGGGCGCGAGCCUGAACCAGCCAAGUCGCGUGAGGGAAGACGGUCCUAUGGAUUGUAAACCUCUUUUGUCGGGGAGCAAAGGCGGGGACUAGUCCCCGGAUGAGGGUACCUGAAGAAAAAGCAUCGGCUAACUCCGUGCCAGCAGCCGCGGUAAUACGGAGGAUGCGAGCGUUAUCCGGAUUUAUUGGGUUUAAAGGGUGCGCAGGCGGCCUGUUAAGUCAGCGGUA